This 492-nucleotide ribosomal RNA is filed under the name uncultured bacterium. RNAcentral describes it as "partial 16S ribosomal RNA". It matches the Rfam family "Bacterial small subunit ribosomal RNA", at positions 29 to 507 of the family's 1533-position model. The record is from RNAcentral.
AGUGAACGCUGGCGGUAGGCCUAACACAUGCAAGUCGAACGGCAGCACAGUAAGAGCUUGCUCUUACGGGUGGCGAGUGGCGGACGGGUGAGGAAUACAUCGGAAUCUACUUUUUCGUGGGGGAUAACGUAGGGAAACUUACGCUAAUACCGCAUACGGCCUACGGGUGAAAGCAGGGGAUCUUCGGACCUUGCGCGAUUGAAUGAGCCGAUGUCGGAUUAGCUAGUUGGCGGGGUAAAGGCCCACCAAGGCGACGAUCCGUAGCUGGUCUGAGAGGAUGAUCAGCCACACUGGAACUGAGACACGGUCCAGACUCCUACGGGAGGCAGCAGUGGGGAAUAUUGGACAAUGGGCGCAAGCCUGAUCCAGCCAUACCGCGUGGGUGAAGAAGGCCUUCGGGUUGUAAAGCCCUUUUGUUGGGAAAGAAAAGCAGCAGGUUAAUACCCCGCCGUUCUGACGGUACCCAAAGAAUAAGCACCGGCUAACUUCGUG